Molecule: long non-coding RNA, 1002 nt
Organism: Phoenix dactylifera (date palm)
Lineage: Eukaryota; Viridiplantae; Streptophyta; Magnoliopsida; Arecales; Arecaceae
Source: RefSeq, a predicted model, not a curated record
CUCCCCUCUUUUCUUCCCGUGAAACAGAAAGGAAAAGGGUUAAAGCCCCCCAUCGAAGCACAAGGGAGGGGAAGGGGCCCAGGGCCAGUGGCGGCGCGACCAAGUGCCAACGGCGCCCGCGGCCGAGGGCCUGCGGCAAUCGCGGCCAAGGGAAACGGCUGGGUGGAUCCUCCAGAUGUUGAGGAUGCCAAGUUAGAUGAGAUUGUAGAAGAUGUCGUAAACUCAAGUUUCUACAAUGAAACUCAAUCAACUCAAUGCUCGGCCAAUGAUGAAUCCAAUUCAUAGUGAGAUGAAUCAUGAUCAUGGGAUACUCCCUUUUGGUUUUGGUUUAAAUAUGGAUGUUGUUAUAGUUUGGGACUUUUUUAGUUUUGCUUUGACUAUGGAUGUUGUCAUUGGUUAUUGUAAUUUUGGUUAAAAUUUUAGCUUCUCAGGUAUGCCCUCAUCUAAUGUCACUCUUAACUUUUGCUCAUGUUUUUAUAUUUCUGUAAGUAACUAUGAACUGAAUUGUAAUGCUUUCUUUUUAACUUCAGAUGGGAUAUGCUUUGCUAAAGGAAACAGGUUAAGGGAAACAAAAGGGGCAAUGCUCUCUCUCUCUCUCUAUUUUUUUUUUUGCCCCUCUGAUGAAUGGAAUGAAACAGGUUAAAGGAAACAACAAGGGGCAAUGCAAAAGCAAAGGGUCAAAGCAUACUGCUGGCUUUCUAUCUGAACGAGUACAAGUUCUUAUUCCGACUCCUUCCCGGUUGACAGAGUUGAAGUCAUUUAUGUCAGUCCAUUGGAAUCAUAUACUGACGACAUUUAUAUAUGUCUCUUGUAUUCUGAAAAGAGAGAUGCUGAAUGAAAAGCUUUCAGCAGAACACUUCCAUUGUUUUGUUUAUGCAUAUGACUGGAUGAGGCUCUAGCUUGUAUUUUUCUUUUAUUAUGAGCCAAUCAAUGUACCAAAUAUACCAGAUUAUUGGAAUGUGACCAGUGACCAAAUUUGGUUACUGAAUAGUUUACCAAGUA